RNAcentral lists this ribosomal RNA (252 nucleotides) under uncultured bacterium. Its description in RNAcentral is "partial 16S ribosomal RNA". It matches the Rfam family "Bacterial small subunit ribosomal RNA", at positions 524 to 775 of the family's 1533-position model. The record is from RNAcentral.
UACGUAGGGUGCGAGCGUUAAUCGGAAUUACUGGGCGUAAAGCGUGCGCAGGCGGUUUGCUAAGACCGAUGUGAAAUCCCCGGGCUUAACCUGGGAACUGCAUUGGUGACUGGCAGGCUAGAGUAUGGCAGAGGGGGGUAGAAUUCCACGUGUAGCAGUGAAAUGCGUAGAGAUGUGGAGGAAUACCGAUGGCGAAGGCAGCCCCCUGGGCCAAUACUGACGCUCAUGCACGAAAGCGUGGGGAGCAACAGG